CCUACGGGGGGCUGCAGUGGGGAAUAUUGGACAAUGGGCGAAAGCCUGAUCCAGCCAUGCCGCGUGUGUGAAGAAGGCCUUCGGGUUGUAAAGCACUUUCAGUGGGGAAGAAAGCCUUGGGGCUAAUACCCUCGAGGAAGGACAUCACCCACAGAAGAAGCACCGGCUAACUCCGUGCCAGCAGCCGCGGUAAUACGGAGGGUGCGAGCGUUAAUCGGAAUUACUGGGCGUAAAGCGCGCGUAGGCGGUCUGAUAAGCCGGUUGUGAAAGCCCCGGGCUCAACCUGGGAACGGCAUCCGGAACCGUCAGGCUAGAGUGCAGGAGAGGAAGGUAGAAUUCCCGGUGUAGCGGUGAAAUGCGUAGAGAUCGGGAGGAAUACCAGUGGCGAAGGCGGCCUUCUGGACUGACACUGACGCUGAGGUGCGAAAGCGUGGGUAGCAAACAGGAUUAGAUACCCUUGUAGUC
Molecule: ribosomal RNA, 465 nt
Filed under: Vreelandella stevensii
Lineage: Bacteria; Pseudomonadati; Pseudomonadota; Gammaproteobacteria; Oceanospirillales; Halomonadaceae
Description: partial 16S ribosomal RNA
Rfam family: Bacterial small subunit ribosomal RNA
Source: RNAcentral